CUAAUUCCACCCAGCAGCUGGCACAUCUGGACCGUGACCACUGGGGCUGACCCUUGGGGCUGCUGUCACGAUUAUGUCCUUGGGACACCUGGGAGGUUCAAGCCACUGGCAGCAGCUGGGUUGGACCAACAGCUGGUAAAGACUCCAAAGCUCAGAAGAGUAAGUUGACUUGCUCAGAAACACAGAGCCAGUGGUUGUGUGGUGCAGACAAGAAGCCAGGAGUCUGUGAUUCAAGGCCAGGAAUACCACCAUGUCUUGCUGUAUAUCUUUCAGGACUCUGUGACUCAGUUUUUCUGCAGGUUACUGUAUGAUUCUCUGGAGCAGGGUACAAGGAGACACCUUGAAGCUUGCUGGAUGCCUCAGAGGGAAGUGAGAGAGAAACAAGCACCAGAGAAGGCAGAGUGAGGAAACAGAGAAAUUGGGACUUUGGAGACAUUGUUUGAGCUGCUGGACCAAGCCUUGCCUGAAAGCAGCAUAUCUAGACUUCAACAUCCCCACUCUGAGGAGCUUCUGGGAGAGUUGGCUAGGUCUUUCCCAAGCCUGGGAAGCAGAAGCCGGGGCAGAUUAACAAUGCCAAUUACUAAGAUCCUGCAGUCGAUGAAAGGAGUAAGGCUGGAGAAUGAGUGGAAAGAAGACACCUUUGCUUGGGAAUCUUUCAGAUGCCAGCUGGCAUGGGUUUUUGCCCUGGCUUUGAGCUGAGCCUCAGCCAAGGACUGAUCCCCUGCCUGCAGCAGUUCCAGGGAGAUGCUGUUGCUGAUGGUCCAGGGACCACACUUUUGAGAACCACGUGGCUGGAUGAACUCAGAUUCUUUUGAGUAGUGACAUUGAAUGGCUUCUUCCAAGUACUGCUGAGUCCGCUGGUUUCCCUUGUGAUCCAUGACCCACUUCCCCAGUGACUCUGCUCACAUGGGUCCUGACAGAGAUGAUGUCCUGCGAGUUUUCUGGCAAACCCAGAGGAGAGGUCCAGAGAGUGGAUCCGGGGGCUUUGCAGCAAUGGAGUGGGCUUUCAGCAAACUCAA
This 1019-nucleotide long non-coding RNA is filed under the name Homo sapiens (human). RNAcentral's name for it is "HSALNT0405477". The record is from RNAcentral. Lineage: Eukaryota; Metazoa; Chordata; Mammalia; Primates; Hominidae.